UGCCAACUCUGGGCUUCUGAAGGUCUCCUUGGAGGUGUGAAGGAGAGGGCAUUCCCCCCUUGUACCCCCUCCCCACCCCACUUUGGUUCUAAUCUUGAACACUUCUCUGUUUGUAGAGCUCCAGAGGGAGGCCAUCGCCGGGAAUGUCUCUUGCCAGCUGCAUUUGCUGCACCCGCAUUGGACCAGGGAUCCACGCUCUGAUCCUGUCUGCCAUUCACCUCGGGCCCUCUGCAAAGACAGUCCUGGAGCUUCAGCCAGUCCAGAAAAAGGUCUCCGGAGUGUAACUUGAACUGGGAGCACAGGCUGCAUCCUCCAGGCUGGUGUCGCCUCUUCUGGCAUUUGGUUCCUAGCUUUGGCGCAGGCCAAGUCGCUGGUUUAGGCUUCUCCAGCCCCAAAUCACCCAGAAGGUCCUUCCUGCUCCAGGCCCCCAGCUGAGGCUGACUAAGAACCACCGAGGCCCAUUGCAAGCAGAGGCCCCGUGAAUGCAAGAGAAACGGCCGGGAGCUCUUUGGAUUGUACUGGCUGGACGACACCACGUCCCCUCCAGAGAGGUGACAUUCCUGGAGCAUGGAAGCCAUGUGGACUCUGCCAAUCACAAGAUCGCCAGGGAGGGAGGGAUAAAAGCUGGACCUGUUUGCAGGCUUGCUCCGUAUUUGUGGAGAAUGAGACGACAAUUUACUGUCUGGGAGAGGCAGAGUACCAAAUGGCCAGGAUGGCUUCAGGCCCCGAAUCCGCCCCCACUUGGAGUGGGAAAACCUUGACGUUCAAGAGACAAGCCAGCAAUCCAAUGCCUGGCAUGGAGGAGGCCAAGAUUUCUGUUACCCCGAGAUGUCAUGACACUUGAUGGGUAGAAGGUUGAAAAGAGGAACUGGACAAAUAUGUGGGCGAUAAGCUUAGAAUUGACCACUGCCAGUGAGAGCUGACCCUUAGAAGAGAUGCCGGAGGGAGGAGAGGGAGAGACACAGAAAGCCUGGGGGCUUGACUGGAUAAGGCCCCUCCUGGGCCAGUGUGCAGAGAUGGAAGGAAAUAUGGCUAAGAAAUGCUCACCAGGAAGACCGAGUGUAAGCAGCCAAGGGGUGGGAAAGCAUCCUUCUGUAGGAACCUCAGGAGAGUGACUGGGCUACAGGUGAGGACAGGAUCACAGAGGCCCUGAAAGGAAUCCCUAAAUGGCAGUGAGAUCAAGGAGAAUUGAGCAGCGGACUGAAGCUUUGGAACACCAGGCAGGCCAGGCCCAAGCUUUUGGUGUGUGAGGCAAUGUGGGAGAGGGCCCCCCCCUUACGGAAGUCUCCUGUCCCCUCGGGCUUUUCCAUACAGUUUUCCUUAGAAUAGCGGUUUGGUUUAAUUCACAUGUGGGCAACCCACAGGCCCACGUAGGGCAGCAUGUAUCCUGCAGCUGUGCUUCCAUCGAUGCAUGCAGCCUCUGGAGUGAGGAGGGUGCCCACCCUUGGUUUCUAUCUCUUGGGAAGUCAGACAAAUGGAUGAAUAAAGAGGAAAGUCACUCAUAGGGAUUGGAACCA
Molecule: long non-coding RNA, 1517 nt
Filed under: Pogona vitticeps (central bearded dragon)
Lineage: Eukaryota; Metazoa; Chordata; Lepidosauria; Squamata; Agamidae
Description: lncRNA (ENSPVIG00000016228.1)
Source: RNAcentral